RNAcentral lists this ribosomal RNA (429 nucleotides) under Actinomycetes bacterium. Its description in RNAcentral is "Actinobacteria bacterium partial 16S ribosomal RNA". It matches the Rfam family "Bacterial small subunit ribosomal RNA", at positions 355 to 776 of the family's 1533-position model. The record is from RNAcentral. Lineage: Bacteria; Bacillati; Actinomycetota; Actinomycetes.
UAGGGAAUCUUCCGCAAUGGGCGAAAGCCUGACGGAGCAACGCCGCGUGAGUGAUGAAGGUCUUCGGAUCGUAAAACUCUGUUAUUAGGGAAGAACAAAUGUGUAAGUAACUAUGCACGUCUUGACGGUACCUAAUCAGAAAGCCACGGCUAACUACGUGCCAGCAGCCGCGGUAAUACGUAGGUGGCAAGCGUUAUCCGGAAUUAUUGGGCGUAAAGCGCGCGUAGGCGGUUUUUUAAGUCUGAUGUAAAAGCCCACGGCUCAACCGUGGAGGGUCAUUAGAAACUGGAAAACUUGAGUGCAGGAGAGGAAAGUGGAAUUCCAUGUGUAGCGGUGAAAGGCGCAGAGAUAUGGGGGAACACCAGUGGCGAAGGCGACUUUCUGGUCUGUAACUGACGCUGAUGUGCGAAAGCGUGGGGAUCAAACAGG